This 806-nucleotide ribosomal RNA is filed under the name uncultured bacterium. RNAcentral's name for it is "bacterial SSU rRNA". It matches the Rfam family "Bacterial small subunit ribosomal RNA", at positions 8 to 796 of the family's 1533-position model. The record is from RNAcentral.
AGAGUUUGAUCAUGGCUCAGGAUGAACGCUGGCGGCGUGCCUAAUACAUGCAAGUCGAGCGAACGGACGAGAAGCUUGCUUCUCUGAUGUUAGCGGCGGACGGGUGAGUAACACGUGGAUAACCUACCUAUAAGACUGGGAUAACUUCGGGAAACCGGAGCUAAUACCAGAUAAUAUUUUGAACCGCAUGGUUCAAAAGUGAAAGACGGUCUUGCUGUCACUUAUAGAUGGAUCCGCGCUGCAUUAGCUAGUUGGUAAGGUAACGGCUUACCAAGGCAACGAUGCAUAGCCGACCUGAGAGGGUGAUCGGCCACACUGGAACUGAGACACGGUCCAGACUCCUACGGGAGGCAGCAGUAGGGAAUCUUCCGCAAUGGGCGAAAGCCUGACGGAGCAACGCCGCGUGAGUGAUGAAAGUCUCCGGAUCGUAAAACUCUGUUAUUAGGGAAGAACAUAUGUGUAAGUAACUGUGCACAUCUUGACGGUACCUAAUCAGAAAGCCACGGCUAACUACGUGCCAGCAGCCGCGGUAAUACGUAGGUGGCAAGCGUUAUCCGGAAUUAUUGGGCGUAAAGCGCGCGUAGGCGGUUUUUUAAGUCUGAUGUGAAAGCCCACGGCUCAACCGUGGAGGGUCAUUGGAAACUGGAAAACUUGAGUGCAGAAGAGGAAAGUGGAAUUCCAUGUGUAGCGGUGAAAUGCGCAGAGAUAUGGAGGAACACCAGUGGCGAAGGCGACUUUCUGGUCUGUAACUGACGCUGAUGUGCGAAAGCGUGGGGAUCAAACAGGAUUAGAUACCCUGGUAGUCC